This is a non-coding RNA of Equus caballus (horse), 733 nucleotides long. The record is from RefSeq and is a predicted model, not a curated record. NCBI's taxonomy places the organism in Eukaryota, Metazoa, Chordata, Mammalia, Perissodactyla, Equidae.
CUUGGAGUCUUCUGUGAACCCAUUGCGUGGAUGCAUAACAAGAACACCGUUAGUAGUCAAGCCGUCCAUCUGCCCAUCUGAUGUCUUCCAUUUGGCAGCCUUCUCCUAGUAGGAAUAAGAAUAUGUCCAGCAAUGCAUACAUUCAGAGUUUGAAGAUCUGAUGGCGUGAGUAAGAAAUGUUCUUGUUCAGUUUAGAACGUAGGCAAUCUUAUGAUGCUUAUAAAACCAGUUCCUCAAAGACUGGCUAAUAUAUCGGAGUAGUUUCUGAUGUAUCUCAGGUUUUUUAAAUGUAUAAAUGUUUGGAUUUUCCGUAGGUAUAAUGCUUGUAGACAGGGUAUAGUCAGUUUACCAUAUUGGGAAAUACUCUCUAUUCCCUUAUGAAAAGGAGAAAACCAAAAGUGUUACAACUUUUUAAGGACCUUCAUAAAAUGAUGAAGACACUGUUCCAUAAUUCACAAUGCCUGGUUUAAUACCAAUUUUGCUCCCAACUAAUUUUGCAAUCUUUAACUCACAAGAUUUCAGUAAGUUUAUCAAUAAAAGAUAAGGGAUAAACAAAUAAAUACAAGGUACCUUCUGCAACUAAAAUUCCAGUCUAUAAUCACAUAUCUAGGUAGCAACCUGAUUUUUAAAAAAGCUAACUAAUCACAUUCAUUUUAACUGGUUGUCAGUAAAAUAAAAUGUGGAAAAUCAUCUUAAAGCUUGUGUUAGGUUCUAAUUAAAAUCUAAAACUUCA